AUGAUCUUAAGGUGUGUCUCAUUGUUGUAUCUGUCAGAUGACGCUUUAGUAUCUGACUCAGCUCACGGGAACGCGCGGACAAGAAACAGUCAUUUUGUAAGUGAAGUGACGUCCACAGUUUUUCCAGUUUGUCAAGCAGAGCCUCUCAACAGAGACUCCAGGUCUGAGGACAUCCCAGCCACCAUGCAGAGACCUCAGCUUGAAUGGUGGAGUCUUCUACUUCUGUUCCUCAGUGGAGUAUUCCUUUCACCACCCAACAGCAUCUCCAGAACAUCAGAUCCAGCAGCUCAGAUGCUGUUUUCACUUUCACCCAAAAGACAUGUAGCUGAAGGUCAUGGACCCGUACACGUGGCCCCAGGACACCCAGGUCAGGGAGGAUGUUCCUCCGUCUCCAGUCAAAAGCCUGGAAUCAGGUAA
RNAcentral lists this long non-coding RNA (417 nucleotides) under Betta splendens (Siamese fighting fish). Its description in RNAcentral is "lncRNA (ENSBSLG00000006336.1)". Lineage: Eukaryota; Metazoa; Chordata; Actinopteri; Anabantiformes; Osphronemidae. The record is from RNAcentral.